ACCUUAGAGACCAACUAAGUUUGUUCUGGGUAUAAGCUUUCGUGUGCAUGCACACUUCUUCAGAUACGAAAGCUUAUACCUAGAACAAACUUAGUUGGUCUCUAAGGU
This 108-nucleotide microRNA precursor is filed under the name Podarcis lilfordi (Lilford's wall lizard). Lineage: Eukaryota; Metazoa; Chordata; Lepidosauria; Squamata; Lacertidae. The record is from RNAcentral.